CCGGAGGAAGGUGGGGAUGACGUCAAGUCAUCAUGGCCUUUAUGUCCAGGGCUACACACGUGCUACAAUGGCCGGUACAGAGCGUCGCGAACCCGCGAGGGGGAGCCAAUCGCACAAAGCCGGCCUCAGUUCGGAUUGCAGUCUGCAACUCGACUGCAUGAAGCUGGAAUCGCUAGUAAUCGCGUGUCAGAACGAUGCGGUGAAUACGUUCCCGGGCCUUGUACACACCGCCCGUCACAUCACGAAAGUGGGUUGUACUAGAAGUCGCGAUCCCAACCGCAAGGAGGGUAGCGCCCAAGGUGUGACUCAUGAUUGGGGUGAAGUCGUAACAAGGUAGCCG
Molecule: ribosomal RNA, 340 nt
Filed under: uncultured bacterium
Lineage: Bacteria
Description: bacterial SSU rRNA
Rfam family: Bacterial small subunit ribosomal RNA
Source: RNAcentral